Eutrema salsugineum is the source of this 106-nucleotide small nucleolar RNA. It matches the Rfam family "Plant small nucleolar RNA R71". Rfam says of the family: R71 is a member of the C/D box family of snoRNAs containing the C (UGAUGA) and D (CUGA) box motifs. Lineage: Eukaryota; Viridiplantae; Streptophyta; Magnoliopsida; Brassicales; Brassicaceae. The record is from Rfam.
AAACCAUGGUGAGGACAUUAUAAUGUAUCCUUUAUAACGAUUCCAAGCUUCAUGAAAGAUUUAGCCUUCUCUUUGUUGGAACCCAUAAAUCUUGUCUCUAAAGAAU